This 82-nucleotide transfer RNA is filed under the name Paracoccus solventivorans. Its description in RNAcentral is "tRNA_Leu_TAA". It matches the Rfam family "tRNA". From Rfam's summary of the family: Transfer RNA (tRNA) molecules are approximately 80 nucleotides in length. Their secondary structure includes four short double-helical elements and three loops (D, anti-codon, and T loops). Lineage: Bacteria; Pseudomonadati; Pseudomonadota; Alphaproteobacteria; Rhodobacterales; Paracoccaceae. The record is from RNAcentral.
GCGGGCGUGAUGGAAUGGUAGACAUUCGAGACUUAAAAUCUCGUGGCCUCGUGCCGUGCGGGUUCGAGUCCCGCCGCCCGCA